UCAAGCAUUAUGUAAGGAAGAUUUUCCAACCUCACCUCCAAGCAGGUGGACAGUGAACGUUCAAUCCAUAAUGACAAUCACUUAAAGAAAAGGAUUCUUGCCCUUCCACAAAGAUGCAGCUUUGUCAGCACACAGAAGGGACUGCAUCUGAAGCACAGCAAAAAGUGAGCAACCCGUUUCCAAGUAAAGCAAAAGGGAGAAACAGUCUGCUGAAAGAGCUGCUUUCACAAGAUGUUCAUCGUGCUCCUCUCUGGCCUCCUGAUCUUUCAACUUGAAUUCUUCAGCAGUAACUUUACCAUUUCCAUCCCGGUCUUGAUUGGUGAACAUAUUUUUAACAAUUUUCUCAAAAUCAAAGCCAGGAGCUAGUUUUCCCUUGCCAGUAUCAACUUGAGUUUGGAUGUACUCUGAAAACUAAAAGGGGGGAAAAAGAGAAGAAAACAGCUCACAGUGAAAAGGAUAUUUGAAAAUGAAAAGCAUCCAGUAUUUUACUACUUAUUAAAUGUACAUAGGACACUGUUACUACCCUAUAAAGUUUACCACCCAAACUGAACUAAUUAGAACAGACACAUGAGGUUAAAUGACUCUUUGUGGAGCUCAGCAGGGAUUUCCUCACUCAUUCCAGUGGGUUUUGGACCCAUAACAAGGAAAGUUCUUUUUCA
Molecule: non-coding RNA, 659 nt
Organism: Agelaius phoeniceus (red-winged blackbird)
Lineage: Eukaryota; Metazoa; Chordata; Aves; Passeriformes; Icteridae
Source: RefSeq, a predicted model, not a curated record